This 627-nucleotide ribosomal RNA is filed under the name uncultured bacterium. RNAcentral describes it as "bacterial SSU rRNA". It matches the Rfam family "Bacterial small subunit ribosomal RNA", at positions 79 to 701 of the family's 1533-position model. The record is from RNAcentral.
CUUGCUUCUCUUGAGAGCGGCGGACGGGUGAGUAAUGCCUAGGAAUCUGCCUGGUAGUGGGGGAUAACGUCCGGAAACGGACGCUAAUACCGCAUACGUCCUACGGGAGAAAGCAGGGGACCUUCGGGCCUUGCGCUAUCAGAUGAGCCUAGGUCGGAUUAGCUAGUUGGUGGGGUAAUGGCUCACCAAGGCGACGAUCCGUAACUGGUCUGAGAGGAUGAUCAGUCACACUGGAACUGAGACACGGUCCAGACUCCUACGGGAGGCAGCAGUGGGGAAUAUUGGACAAUGGGCGAAAGCCUGAUCCAGCCAUGCCGCGUGUGUGAAGAAGGUCUUCGGAUUGUAAAGCACUUUAAGUUGGGAGGAAGGGCAGUAAAUUAAUACUUUGCUGUUUUGACGUUACCGACAGAAUAAGCACCGGCUAACUCUGUGCCAGCAGCCGCGGUAAUACAGAGGGUGCAAGCGUUAAUCGGAAUUACUGGGCGUAAAGCGCGCGUAGGUGGUUCGUUAAGUUGGAUGUGAAAUCCCCGGGCUCAACCUGGGAACUGCAUUCAAAACUGACGAGCUAGAGUAUGGUAGAGGGUGGGUGGAAUUUCCUGUGUAGCGGUGAAAUGCGUAGAUAUAGGA